UAGGCAGGUACAGAGGGAUGCUACCGGGCGACCGGAUGCGGAUCUCGAAAGCCUGUCCCAGUUCGGACUGGAGUCUGCAACCCGACUCCACGAAGUUGGAUUCGCUAGUAAUCGCGCAUCAGCCAUGGCGCGGUGAAUACGUUCCCGGGCCUUGUACACACCGCCCGUCAAGCCAUGGGAGUUGGGGGUGCCUGAAGUACGUGACCGCAAGGAGCGUCCUAGGGCAAAACCGAUGACUGGGGCUAAGUCGUAACAAGGUAUC
This 262-nucleotide ribosomal RNA is filed under the name uncultured bacterium. Its description in RNAcentral is "partial 16S ribosomal RNA". It matches the Rfam family "Bacterial small subunit ribosomal RNA", at positions 1229 to 1500 of the family's 1533-position model. The record is from RNAcentral.